RNAcentral lists this ribosomal RNA (300 nucleotides) under Rhodococcus (subgen. Prescottella) equi. RNAcentral describes it as "Prescottella equi partial 16S ribosomal RNA". It matches the Rfam family "Bacterial small subunit ribosomal RNA", at positions 1244 to 1533 of the family's 1533-position model. The record is from RNAcentral. Lineage: Bacteria; Bacillati; Actinomycetota; Actinomycetes; Mycobacteriales; Nocardiaceae.
GGGCUGCGAUACCGUGAGGUGGAGCGAAUCCCUUAAAGCCGGUCUCAGUUCGGAUCGGGGUCUGCAACUCGACCCCGUGAAGUCGGAGUCGCUAGUAAUCGCCAGAUCAGCAACGCUGCGGUGAAUACGUUCCCGGGCCUUGUACACACCGCCCGUCACGUCAUGAAAGUCGGUAACACCCGAAGACCGGUGGCCGUAACCUUGUGGAGGGAGCCGUCGAAGGUGGGAUCGGCGAUUGGCGACGAAGUCGCUAACAGAGGUAGCCGUACCGGAAGGUGCGGCUGGAUCACUCCUUUCUAA